This 442-nucleotide ribosomal RNA is filed under the name uncultured bacterium. RNAcentral describes it as "partial 16S ribosomal RNA". It matches the Rfam family "Bacterial small subunit ribosomal RNA", at positions 338 to 795 of the family's 1533-position model. The record is from RNAcentral.
CCUACGGGAGGCAGCAGUAGGGAAUCUUUCACAAUGGGCGAAAGCCUGAUGGAGCAACGCCGCGUGCAGGAUGAAGGCCUUCGGGUUGUAAACUGCUUUUAUAAGCGAGAAAUAUGAUGGUAACUUAUGAAUAAGGAUCGGCUAACAACGUGCCAGCAGCCGCGGUCAUACGUAGGAUCCGAGCAUUAUCCGGAGUGACUGGGUGUAAAGAGUUGCGUAGGUGGGAUAAUAAGUAGCUAGUGAAAUCUGGUGGCUCAACCAUUCAGACUAUUAUCGAAACUGUUAAGCUCGAGACCGUUAGGGGUAACUGGAAUUUCUAGUGUAGGGGUGAAAUCCGUAGAUAUUAGAAGGAACACCAAUAGCGAAGGCAGGUUGCUGGGACGGUUCUGACGCUGAGGCACGAAAGCGUAGGGAGCAAACAGGAUUAGAUACCCUUGUAGUC